RNAcentral lists this long non-coding RNA (6633 nucleotides) under Sus scrofa (pig). RNAcentral's name for it is "lncRNA (ENSSSCG00000060044.1)". The record is from RNAcentral. Lineage: Eukaryota; Metazoa; Chordata; Mammalia; Artiodactyla; Suidae.
UUUUUUUUUUUUUAAUGCUCUUUAUUUUUUUUUUUCAUUUAUUUUUUGUCUUUUUAAUCUGUUCUACGGUCACUCCCACGGCAUAUGGAGUUUCCCAGGCUAGGGGCCGAAUCAGAGCUGUAGCUGCCAGCCUACGCCAGAGCCGCACCAACUCUGAGCCACAGCACAGCUCAUGGUGACACCAGAUCCUCAACCCACUGAGUGAGGCCAGGGAUCAAAUUUCAACUCCAUUGUUCCUAGUCGGAUUCAUUAACCGCUGAGCCACAACGGGAACUCCAAGGGGGAAAAUAUUUUAAAUGUGUUUGUGUAUCUUCUAGGUGCCAGAUAUUACCUGACAUUUCCAUUUAGUUCAUUGAAUCAUUAAUCUUAUGAAAAUGUUUUGAAAGUAAUAUUAAUGGCCCCUGGGCCUAGGGAUUAAAAGUGUUGGUUUUGAAGCCAGAAUUUUGAGCUUAAAUUCUAGCAUUAUAACUUUGGGCAAAUUAGCCUCAUUAUGCUGCUCAUUUAUAAUGUGAAGGGUAAUUAAAAAAACCUAUUCAUAGAGAUAUCCUGUAGUUAAAAGAUUUUAUAAAUUUAAGCCACUUAAAAGAGUGGUGGAUAUCUAGUAAAUUUUUAGUUCAUGUUAGUUAUUACUUUGUGCAUGCUAAUUAUAUUCUAAAAAAAUCUUUUAAAGGGGAAUUUUUAAAAAUUUUUGAACAAAAGAGAAUAGUUAAAAGUUAUUACAAAAUGGAUGAACCUCAAAAUCAUUAUCCUAAGUGAAAGAAGCCAGUUCUAUUUCCUUUAAUAGAACUUUUUAUCAGGAUAGAUAAAAUAUGAUUAAACUCUCAUAUUUGAAUGUAGUCAAAAAUCCAGCAAUUACACUGUUAUGUGAGAUGCUGAGACUGUGUCUGUUAUACAUUACUUUGGGAAAAGUUGAUUGUAAAGCCUUGCUGUUUAAGAAUGUAAUAUAUCUUUCUAAUUAAAAAAAAAAGAAACAGAAUUGGAGAAAGGGAGGUAUAUAAGUUUAAAUGAACACUAAAUUAAAAUUUUUUCUCACUGUAUGUGUUCCUCUCUAAUCAAUUCAGUUUACAAAACCAAUAACCUUGUCAUCCAGGGAAGAACUAUUGCAACAUUGCUUUGAGAAAAAAAUUAGGCACAGUGCCCAUCAAGUGAUAUAUUAUCUAAGAGGAUUUAGGAAGAGCCAUGAAACAUGAGGUGAUUCUAUCAUUUGAAUAGUAAAACACACACAUACACCCCAAAUUUCUAAAAUAAAACAAGAAAAAACAAAGUAAAAUAAGCAUUAUAUCUGUAACUUCUGUCAUAUAAACUACAAAACAAAAUUCCUGACCAUUCAUUUCCAUUUCCAUUAAAGAUCCAACUACUCUUUCAGAAACAACUUUGACACUGGACCUCAGACAAUAUUCCCCUUGGUUUAUUACAGUCUGCUUUCUCAUUCACUAAAUUCUAUUCAAGUUUCUUUGCUUUCUGAUAUAUGAUAUUUUGCAACAUGUUGAUACUCACUUGGAAAUAGUUGUUCUCCUAGAUUCUAAUGAUGUCUAGGCCAGCAACUACAAACUCACUGAGAAUACAGAAAAUGUGUAUGCAUUUCUCUAAAUUCUUCCCAUUAGGACAGCUAUUUAAUUGGCAAGUUUGCUGUCAAGUAGCAUGACUACUGCAUUAUAUUUUAAUCUGAACUCAUGUAAAUGUAGAUAUUUAAGAGCUUAUUGCAUCAGAAUUGAAAGAUAAAAUUGUCCAUAUAUUUGAGGAAAAUAAAUCUGACUCAGUUUAACAUUAUGACUUCCUUAAACUACUCGAGCAGUGUAGCAAGCUGGCUAAGUGUGUUGGCUCUGAAAUUAGAAAUGAAUAAGAAUUCUAGCUAUGCCUUUGGCAAGUAAUGUAAUAUUAGACAAAGUUCUUAACCCAUCUGAGCCUAGUUUUUCUCUAAAUAAAGUGGGGAUAACUAAAGUAUAUACUGGUUGGGUUGCUUAAAGGUUAAAUGAAAUGAUAAACAUCAAUCACUUAGCAUAGUGACUAUCAGAUAGUAAGUUCUCAAUGAAUUGAAGACACUAUAAUAACCCAGUCAGGGAUAAGGAAAAUGUCCCAGAAGACUUAACUCAAUGCUGUACAUUACACACUCAAUAAAUAUCAAUAAAUUUAAUUUUUUCUCUUUUAAAAUAUAUUUCAAUGGAUUUUAACACCAUCCCCAUAUAAAAUAUGUAUCUUUUUGACCUUAUAUUCACAUUAUUGCACCUGGCUUCAGAAUUCUCUCUGCAGAUAUAACUUGCAGUUCUUUCUCUUUCUUGCUUCCUUCCAUAGUGACUCCUCCUUGAACCUUUGUGAAUGUGAUGAUGCUGAUAGUGGUCAAGGGUUUUAGAAGCAGGAGCAGCCACAACAUUUCCUGAUAUCAUGGAAUAAUCAGUUUUUCUCAUUGGUUAUGAUGUCGGACCAUCUACUACCACAAAACUUGCAAGGUCCGAUUUUACUUUACUAGUCUAAUCAAGCUCUCAGUGCCUACAUUGAUCUCUUUUCCUCACCAAGAGUUUUGAUGAUUAGCUAAUACUCACACAGACAACAGUCAGACUUGAUGGCAAUCACUAGUUAUCCCCUAAGGACUGUAUUUCUCAUCCAGCUGUUCAGACUUGGUGACUGUUACACCUUCUAGUGACCACUGUUCCAAUAUUUAAGACACUUACAAUCUUAGCUGCCCUCAAUACCUGCCUCUGAACUCUACAAGUGCAAAUCCUUAACAAUUCCUCUACACCAACACCACUAUGCACAAGGUUACCAGCCUCCCUAUGGCAAAAGAAGAAACACAAAAACCGAAGUAAUCUAAAAUUAAGACGUUCAUUUGCUUAGCCAUAAAUGGGAUGAAAAUUCACAUUAUUUUCUAUACAGAGUCCAUCAAGCCAAAGAGUAAGUCCAAACCCCACAAGUUAUGAAACUUGGUAGAACAUCAUAUAAGGGUUUCCUGUUAUAUCUCAUGAUCCUAGAACCAUUCCCUUAUCAAAAUUGCUAUGACUUCCAAAGAAAUCAGGAAGACUGAGGAGCCAACUUCUGUGUCUGCAAGAGAGGGAAGAGCCCCCUUGCUGCCUCAUUGUAAAUAAGGAAGAACAGAUCAUCAUCUAUGACCUUUUUUUUUCCCAUAAAGCUUUGUUAGUCCUAUCUCAACUAAACCGUAGAGAGAUAUAGAUGUGGAUAAUGGCUCUAUCUUAAUAAAAUGAAAAGAAAUAAUAAGUUGCCCCCAAGGCAGAAAGUGAGGGCUCCGGAAUAGGUUUGUGUGAGGAAUUACUGUUUCUCUCUUUUUCUGUCAACCAGAGUGUUUUUCAAGACUAUCUGUUUAGUUUCAAGAAAUUAAGAAUGUCUGUCUUCCCUAUAAAGCUCAAAGUCAGAAGAGAGUAGAGGAAAAAAGAUUAGUGGAAGAUAAAAACAUGGACAUUGGAUUUAGAUCCUAAAAAUACUGUGUGUAUUGACUAUUGUUACAAAAUUACUAUUAACUACAAUAAUAGAUAGUGGGCAGGUAGGUAGAGAGACUGAGAUAGGUAAUUAUUGCUGGAAAAUUUGAACUUUUUCUUGUGAUUCUAAAAUGAAUUAUCUUAAAUCAUUUCCUAAACAUGAAUUUCCAUGUUGGCACAUUUACCAUCAUUUUACCAAAUGACAAGUAUCACUCUUCAUGAACAAGAUUGAAAAGCAUUUUUAACUUCGUCACUAUUGACCUGAAAUCUUCAGGCUGUCCUGUAACAUUCCUACAACUGUCACCAGAUAAUAUUAUACAUAAUGUUUGCAAAAUUUAAUCCUUUAAAACAUACCCUGGAACACUAUGUGAUACUUCAACAUGUCUCUGAGUUUAUUAUAUGCUUACACAGGCCUUUUGGGAUCUGAAAAUUAUUCAUAAAGAAAUUUAAAUGAUGUAUAUUCUUUCUUUAUCAUAUAAAGUCCUACUAAUAUGAUAAAUAGAAGCAAUAAACCUCAUUUUUUUGCACAAAAUUAGUUAAGACUUUUCCCCAAAGAAAACUCUCCCUUUUGAGUAAUGAACAUUUAGAAAUUCCAGAGUUCACCCUAUUGGCUACUUCUACAAUUCUGUGUUUUCCUUCUCCUUUCUAAAAUCACCUAGAUUUUAUUCAACUAUCCACACUUUUCUCCACAUAAAUAAGGACAAAAAGACUCCUAUUUAAAACUUCAUCAGUUCCUGUUGUGGCUCUGCAGAUUAAGAACAUUUCUCUCUUUUCUUGGUUUACUAGAGUCAGUUUCCUGAGUUGUUUCAGCACUAGUAUCCAUGAGGAUGUGGGUUCCAUCCCUAACCUCGCUCAGUAGGCUAAGGAUCCAGCAUUGCUGCAAGCUGCAGCCUAGGUUGUAGAUGCGGCUUGGAUCCCACAUUGCUGUGGCUGCAGCAUAGGCUGGCAGCUGCAUUCUGAUUCACCCCCUAACCUGGGAACAGGUGCAGUCCUCAAAAGAAAGAUAUAAGGACAAAUCUGAUGAGACUGCUAAAAUGAGUCCCUCCCUCUUAAUAAAGAGAUAAAGUAAGAGACAACCCUUCUAUACCUUGGCUAUUGUGCUAUUUAGAUGUGACACCUACGACGGCUGAAAUUAGUUAAGGAUAAAGCCAUGUAAGGGAGGAGGAUAGAUCUCUGACAUACUAGACCUGGGGGCUAUAUAUUUUCUUAUAUGAAGCAAUAAUUUUCUGCAUUAUUUAAACUAGUUUCAGAUGGGCUUUUAUUAUAAUUUAAAAAUCCAAUCUUUGACCUUUAUAAUGUAGAGGAAAUGCUACUCAAAUUGCAAAUUCUCAAGAGAAUACAGUUAGGUUAGCUGCAGCAGAAAACAAAUUGGAUGAUGGAAGUGAACAUUAGCUAUAAUUAGAAACUCAAAGCACACUUGGCAAAUUCAGUAAAGCUAUAAUUUGUAAGUGUUUACAUCACUUUGGUUUCAAGUUAAAAGUUAAGAAGCUAUAGGAAUACCUAUAUUGUGGUAUGGAGAUGAUAAUAAAUUAUUUGAUUUAUUAAUCAAAAUCUAUUGAGGUAAAUUCUCAUUCAAUAAUAUAUAUUAAGAAUUAAAUAAGAUUCGAUUUAACAUUCAGAUUAGAAUUUAUACUCUAAGUUUCCAGCACUCAACAGUUUAGUCCAGUUGGGAAAUAUGAACCAUUCAUUUAACACAAUAACAAACAAAAUGCCAUCAGAUUAUAAUUACUCCAAGAUGUGUAAAUAAUUGGAAAUGUUAUGGGAGUGCAGAGUUGUCAAUGAGAGAAACAGAAGUCUGUGAAAGUGCCAUGUAAGGGGUAAAUAUUAUACAGUGGCAAGUGAAACACCGACCAUAAUUUAAAAUACAUGAUCUGAAGGUGGAAAAACCAAACACUUCUGAUAGUAUCUCAUGGUACAGGAGGGUUUCUUAUUUCUACAACUAAAGUCAAUAUUCUCCCAACCAUACAACCUAUCAUUUCUCUCUUGGUUUACUAUCUUUUCUUGGUUUACUAUCUUUUCUUGGUUUACUAGAGUCAGUUUCCUGAGUUGUUUCAGUCCUUCCUCCGUGGUAUCUUUCAUUAUUCUUCUGUUUUCCCUACAGAAAAUAUUUCCACUAAAGAAAGAUUCCUAACUAGGAUUGAGGUUUCCACUCUGUAUGGCUUUCAAUCCAUUUUGUAGUAACCCUCAAAAUUAUAUUUCCAAAAUUCUGACCUCAGCCUAUUUAUUUCUCCUCAAAACCUCCUAAGGAAUCCCCAUUGCCAGCUGGAAAGGACAUAGAGUGGAAAUCCUUAUCCCUUCUAUUUAAUUCUUUAUAGUCUGGUAGGAAAUUAAAGAAAAACACAAACAUAAGCACAAUAAACUGCUAAAAGGUUUCUUAUAGAACCUUACUUCUAAUAGAAACUAUCUUCAUGCCUGACCAAAUUAAAGUCUUUAUCCAGACAAAAUUCUUUAUUAACCCUCUCUAAAGAAAGUAUUUUGCAUUUCUCUAUCAACACACCUUUCCAUAAGACAUUUCUCUUCUCUGGAAGAUUCAUUCUACCUAAUUUAUUCAUUAAUCUUGAUAUCUUUCAAGGUUUAUUUGGAGUUUAGCUUUCUCCUCAUUUUAUAACCUCUUAUUCAUAAAAUGGAUCCAACAGGACUCUUUCUAGAGAACAGCUUAUUCUAUUUAUAAACAGCUUGAAUUAUCAGCAUGAAGUUGCUUAAAUGGAACCAAAGUUUACUUUUCUCUGUUAGUGUUAGCAGAAUACUAUAAUGCAACAUCAAAUAAAAUAAGUUUUCUCAUGUAUCACAAUCAUUCACAUAUCUGAAAAUAUUAUUAUGACAUCCCUGCAUUUUUUUCUACAAUCAAUAGAAAUUACCAAUAACAAAACUGUUUCUCAAGUGACAUUCUUUCUAAACUCUUCGCCAUUUUAUUUUUAUUAUAGGAAUUGUUAACAUUUCUCCUAAAAUAAUAAUAGUUUCUAGGACAUCUGCUUUUGACUAUGGCAGGUGAACUUAUGUUGCCAUAGCCGUUCCAAACAUGACAAGUGUGAAAACUCAAUAAAGUAUUUCAUAUGCCACCUAUUUUAAGACUUUGGUUUCCUAAGAAAGCAAAGGACUUAAGGAAAAAGACAGAAAUAAAAUAUAAAAAGAUGAGCCAAAACUUUCAAGGGUUACUUCCCAUCAAGGAAAUUGUCACUACUGAGUCUUAGCCAAUAAGCCAAAA